This 481-nucleotide ribosomal RNA is filed under the name uncultured bacterium. Its description in RNAcentral is "bacterial SSU rRNA". It matches the Rfam family "Bacterial small subunit ribosomal RNA", at positions 48 to 524 of the family's 1533-position model. The record is from RNAcentral.
CUUACACAUGCAGUCGAGCGGUACAUUUCUAGCUUGCUAGAAGAUGACGAGCGGCGGACGGGUGAGUAAUACUUAGGAAUCUACCUAGUAGUGGGGGAUAGCUCGGGGAAACUCGAAUUAAUACCGCAUACGACCUACGGGAGAAAGGGGGCAACUUGUUGCUCUCGCUAUUAGAUGAGCCUAAGUCGAAUUAGCUAGAUAGUGGGGUAAAGGCCUACCAUGGCGACGAUCUGUAGCUGGUCUGAGAGGAUGAUCAGCCACACCGGGACUGAGACACGGCCCGGACUCCUACGGGAGGCAGCAGUGGGGAAUAUUGGACAAUGGGGGAAACCCUGAUCCAGCCAUGCCGCGUGUGUGAAGAAGGCCUUUCGGUUGUAAAGCACUUUAAGCAGUGAAGAAGACUCUUCGGUUAAUACCCGGAGACGAUGACAUUAGCUGCAGAAUAAGCACCGGCUAACUCUGUGCCAGCAGCCGCGGUAAU